RNAcentral lists this transfer RNA (79 nucleotides) under Lactobacillus gasseri 202-4. Its description in RNAcentral is "tRNA-Pro". It matches the Rfam family "tRNA". From Rfam's summary of the family: Transfer RNA (tRNA) molecules are approximately 80 nucleotides in length. Their secondary structure includes four short double-helical elements and three loops (D, anti-codon, and T loops). The record is from RNAcentral. Lineage: Bacteria; Bacillati; Bacillota; Bacilli; Lactobacillales; Lactobacillaceae.
UCGGGAUGUGGCUCAGCUUGGUAGAGCGCUACGUUCGGGACGUAGAAGUCGCAGGUUCAAAUCCUGUCAUCCCGAUUGA